GAUUGUCGAUCGGUGCUUGGCACCUGAUUGAUUUUGGUCGCCAACGAGUGGGCGGACGGGUGAGUAACACGUAGGUAACCUGCCCAGAAGCGGGGGACAACAUUUGGAAACAGAUGCUAAUACCGCAUAACAACGUUGUUCGCAUGAACAACGCUUAAAAGAUGGCUUCUCGCUAUCACUUCUGGAUGGACCUGCGGUGCAUUAGCUUGUUGGUGGGGUAAUGGCCUACCAAGGCGAUGAUGCAUAGCCGAGUUGAGAGACUGAUCGGCCACAAUGGGACUGAGACACGGCCCAUACUCCUACGGGAGGCAGCAGUAGGGAAUCUUCCACAAUGGGCGCAAGCCUGAUGGAGCAACACCGCGUGAGUGAAGAAGGGUUUCGGCUCGUAAAGCUCUGUUGUUAAAGAAGAACACGUAUGAGAGUAACUGUUCAUACGUUGACGGUAUUUAACCAGAAAGUCACGGCUAACUACGUGCCAGCAGCCGCGGUAAUACGUAGGUGGCAAGCGUUAUCCGGAUUUAUUGGGCGUAAAGAGAGUGCAGGCGGUUUUCUAAGUCUGAUGUGAAAGCCUUCGGCUUAACCGGAGAAGUGCAUCGGAAACUGGAUAACUUGAGUGCAGAAGAGGGUAGUGGAACUCCAUGUGUAGCGGUGGAAUGCGUAGAUAUAUGGAAGAACACCAGUGGCGAAGGCGGCUACCUGGUCUGCAACUGACGCUGAGACUCGAAAGCAUGGGUAGCGAACAGGAUUAGAUACCCUGGUAGUCCAUGCCGUAAACGAUGAGUGCUAGUGUUGAGGGUUUCCGCCCUUUCAGUGCCGGAGCUAACGCAUAAGCACUCGCUGGGAGUACGACGCAGUGAACUCGAAGUAUUGACGGGGGCCGCACAAGGCGGUGGAGCA
Molecule: ribosomal RNA, 897 nt
Filed under: Limosilactobacillus fermentum
Lineage: Bacteria; Bacillati; Bacillota; Bacilli; Lactobacillales; Lactobacillaceae
Description: bacterial SSU rRNA
Rfam family: Bacterial small subunit ribosomal RNA
Source: RNAcentral